UGCAAUAAGACUGUACACAUAGAUGAAUACAUAUAUCAUUUUUAUUACUUUCGAUUUUAUUAUUAUUUUUCUAACAUACAUACUGCUCUCCUUCGAAGAAUAUUUUCUAUUAUUUAGGAAGGCCUUAUUUUCAAAAGAAUUUUUGUGUUGAGCUAAGCAAGACUCACACUUUUUAUAGUCAAUUCCCCAGCAUGAAAACCCAAUAGGCAGCCUACUUAAUCGUUACAAUACAUAGUAAGCCUGACCAAAAAAGUCAGUGGACGGCUGCCUCGCCCCAACAGAUUUUAUUUCUCCCGUAACAUACGAGUAAGGUGAAACCUACAAAUUAAAUCAUGAUUUACGGCAUGCUGGUGACACUCUCGACGGCAAUCUAUACUACGGUGGCCACCCUUUGGCAGGUUCAAUAGACCCUAAUCAAUUAGAUGAUGUCGUUUAGUCUUUUCAUUUUGGGUCUGUUCUGCAAGCCGUAUUUGAUAGUUCCCCUGUUGGCAGCUGGGUUCUUCAUGGUGCGCCGGAUCUUGCUGCGGCGGGCAAAGCGGACCCAAGCCUGGAAAUCGCCGGG
Drosophila miranda is the source of this 562-nucleotide long non-coding RNA. RefSeq lists it as uncharacterized. The transcript is spliced from 2 exons. Lineage: Eukaryota; Metazoa; Arthropoda; Insecta; Diptera; Drosophilidae. The record is from RefSeq and is a predicted model, not a curated record.